GAUGAACGCUGGCGGCGUGCUUAACACAUGCAAGUCGAACGAAGCACUUUACUUGAUCUCCUUCGGGAUUGAUUGUUCUGUGACUGAGUGGCGGACGGGUGAGUAACGCGUGGAUAACCUGCCUCACACAGGGGGAUAACAGUUGGAAACGGCUGCUAAUACCGCAUAAGCGCACAGCACCGCAUGGUGCAGUGUGAAAAACUCCGGUGGUGUGAGAUGGAUCCGCGUCUGAUUAGCUGGUUGGCGGGGUAACGGCCCACCAAGGCGACGAUCAGUAGCCGGCCUGAGAGGGCGACCGGCCACAUUGGGACUGAGACACGGCCCAGACUCCUACGGGAGGCAGCAGUGGGGAAUAUUGCACAAUGGGGGAAACCCUGAUGCAGCGACGCCGCGUGAGCGAUGAAGUAUUUCGGUAUGUAAAGCUCUAUCAGCAGGGAAGAUAAUGACGGUACCUGACUAAGAAGCUCCG
This 469-nucleotide ribosomal RNA is filed under the name uncultured bacterium. RNAcentral describes it as "bacterial SSU rRNA". It matches the Rfam family "Bacterial small subunit ribosomal RNA", at positions 28 to 495 of the family's 1533-position model. The record is from RNAcentral.